CAGCAGCCGCGGUAAUACGAAGGGUGCAAGCGUUACUCGGAAUUACUGGGCGUAAAGCGUGCGUAGGUGGUGGUUUAAGUCCGUUGUGAAAGCCCUGGGCUCAACCUGGGAAUUGCAGUGGAUACUGGGUCACUAGAGUGUGGUAGAGGAUAGUGGAAUUUCCGGUGUAGCAGUGAAAUGCGUAGAGAUCGGAAGGAACAUCUGUGGCGAAGGCGACUAUCUGGGCCAACACUGACGCUGAGGCACGAAAGCGUGGGGAGCAAACAGGAUUAGAUACCCGAGUAGUCCCUGUCUCUUAUAC
This 301-nucleotide ribosomal RNA is filed under the name uncultured bacterium. Its description in RNAcentral is "partial 16S ribosomal RNA". It matches the Rfam family "Bacterial small subunit ribosomal RNA", at positions 509 to 807 of the family's 1533-position model. The record is from RNAcentral.